Long non-coding RNA from Salvia hispanica, 653 nucleotides. RefSeq lists it as uncharacterized. The record is from RefSeq and is a predicted model, not a curated record. Lineage: Eukaryota; Viridiplantae; Streptophyta; Magnoliopsida; Lamiales; Lamiaceae.
UGCAAAAUAGAAUGGUAACGUGUGUGUGCCUUGCAUAUUAAUAUACAAAUGCAAUAAUGAUAGGUGUCACAACAGUAGAUGUAUGCGUGUCCAAUUUUCUUAAUCAUCACUUUCCUAAUUUAAAAGAUAAGAAAAGAAACAUAUAAUGUCAGCUAUUAUAUUUAAUACAUGUUAGAUGGAUCACAUCUAGUAAGUCGGCUUAUAAGGAAAUGAGGGAAAAGAAUUGGAUUUUGUUCAAAGAGGUCAAAGAUUGUAAUCGUGAAAUGGAAUCACAGAUUCGCUUAGAAUGUGAAAUAAGAAGGGACCUAUGAGUCCAAAUACAGAGGGAUCUUCGGGUCAUAGAGGAAUCCCGGGCAGAUACCAGGCUUGAUUUGUCACAGAAUAAUAAAUUGAGUAGAGAGACAUAUGUAUACGAAUAUUAAUUUGUUUAUGAUAUUUAUUGCUCCUGGUUAUAUGUAUUGCUUAAAGAGUAUGUUUGAUAAUUGUGUGGUGGGAAAUUAAAGGUGAAAUUUAUAUACAUUGGACUGUGGCUCAUAGAUAUCAACGAUAGAAAUAGAUAUUGGUUUUUGAAUGUAUCUGAUAUGAGUGUUUUGUGUUUGAAUGUAUCUGAUAUGAGUGUUUUAUUUGACAUGUGGAUUAAUAUUUUUAAAAUU